Molecule: ribosomal RNA, 1092 nt
Filed under: Triticum aestivum (bread wheat)
Lineage: Eukaryota; Viridiplantae; Streptophyta; Magnoliopsida; Poales; Poaceae
Description: partial small subunit ribosomal RNA
Source: RNAcentral
AUGCCCAGCCCACUACCCCCACCUUCUCCUUCCCCCGACUACCUCCCACCCGUGGCGGCGCCUCCACCCCCACUACCCUGCGCCCACCACCACCAACCACCCCGACGCCCAACCACCACCCACCCCCCUGGCGCACCACCAGAACCACCCCACCACCCCCGGCGCACCAACGCGCAGCCAAGUCCACCCGGCCGGCCGCAGUCCCUCAACCACCAGCCGGGCCGAGGUGGAAAAGCAGGACGGCGAGCCCCGCCNNNNNNNNNNNNNNNNNNNNNNNNNNNNNNNNNNNNNNNNNNNNNNNNNNNNCUCCUCCCGCGCCGCCGACAGACCUUGCUCCCCGCGCCACCAGGACCUCCACCACCGGAUUCAGGACCCUCGCCACCGGAUCCAGGCCCUCCACCACAAGAUUCGCCAUCCUCCAUCGUCGUUUCCUGCCCCGCUCGCCCCACCUGUGGGUGUGAGGCGUCGUCGGCGGGUUGUGCAGUUCCUCCGUCGUCGGCGGGCGGGCGGGCAGCUCCUCCAACCCCCGCCGAUCUGCUACAAACCGGCGACCCCAUCCUGCCAAAGAUCGGCCCGUCGCCGUCGUCCCACGCAUGGCCGGCGUCGGAUCCGCGCGUCGCCGUCCCUGACAACCUCUGGGUCGAGGGCAGUUGGAUCCGCCCUGUCGUUAUCCUCCCGCGGCUACUCGACGACGGAUCCGCGCCAAGACCUCCUAGGGGCGUCCUCUCUGUCCCCAUAUCGAGGGUGACUUGCCUUCACAGAUCCGAUGGUCGGCCGGUGAGCUCGGGGGUCGCCAGCGACUCUCCCCUCCCAGUGCCUCCACCUCCCUCUACCACCAUCGAGCGCAUCCAGAGGGGCGUGGGGGUGUCCUACGGCCUUCCCUUCCCUGCCAUGUCAAGCCCCGACCUCCACUCUUGGCGCGUGGAAUGCAAAAUCCCUCCGGCGAGGUCCACGACGCGUCCAUCCCAGCGGCUCGCGUGCAGUUCGGUUUGGACGGUGGCUCACGUGCAAGGUCUCGGGCGCUACGGCGUGUUCAGUUCGCAGGUCCUGCUACACACACUCGGUACCCCCGACGGUGGCGGUUGGCUGUGA